GAUGAACGCUGGCGGCGUGCCUAAUACAUGCAAGUCGAGCGAACGGACGAGAAGCUUGCUUUUCUGAUGUUAGCGGCGGACGGGUGAGUAACACGUGGAUAACCUACCUAAAAGACUGGGAUAACUUCGGGAAACCGGAGCUAAUACCGGAUAAUAUUUUGAACCGCAUGGUUGAAAAGUGAAAGACGGUCUUGCUGUCACUUAUAGAUGGAUCCGCGCUGCAUUAGCUAGUUGGUAAGGUAAAGGCUUACCAAGGCAACGAUGCAUAGCCGACCUGAGAGGGUGAUCGGCCCCACUGGAACUGAGACACGGUCCAGACUCCUACGGGAGGCAGCAGUAGGGAAUCUUCCGCAAUGGGCGCAAGCCUGACGGAGCAACGCCGCGUGAGUGAUGAAGGUCUUCGGAUCGUAAAACUCUGUUAUUAGGGAAGAACAUAUGUGUAAGUAACUGUGCACAUCUUGACGGUACCUAAUCAGAAAGCCACGGCUAACUACGUG
This 497-nucleotide ribosomal RNA is filed under the name uncultured bacterium. Its description in RNAcentral is "partial 16S ribosomal RNA". It matches the Rfam family "Bacterial small subunit ribosomal RNA", at positions 28 to 507 of the family's 1533-position model. The record is from RNAcentral.